UACGAAGGGGGCUAGCGUUGUUCGGAAUCACUGGGCGUAAAGGGUGCGUAGGCGGGUCUUUAAGUCAGGGGUGAAAUCCUGGAGCUCAACUCCAGAACUGCCUUUGAUACUGAGGGUCUUGAGUUCGGGAGAGGUGAGUGGAACUGCGAGUGUAGAGGUGAAAUUCGUAGAUAUUCGCAAGAACACCAGUGGCGAAGGCGGCUCACUGGCCCGAUACUGACGCUGAGGCACGAAAGCGUGGGGAGCAAACAGG
This 253-nucleotide ribosomal RNA is filed under the name uncultured bacterium. RNAcentral's name for it is "partial 16S ribosomal RNA". It matches the Rfam family "Bacterial small subunit ribosomal RNA", at positions 524 to 776 of the family's 1533-position model. The record is from RNAcentral.